RNAcentral lists this ribosomal RNA (398 nucleotides) under uncultured bacterium. RNAcentral's name for it is "partial 16S ribosomal RNA". It matches the Rfam family "Bacterial small subunit ribosomal RNA", at positions 359 to 774 of the family's 1533-position model. The record is from RNAcentral.
GAAUAUUGCACAAUGGAGGAAACUCUGAUGCAGCGACGCCGCGUGAAUGACGAAGGCCUUCGGGUCGUAAAAUUCUGUCCUUGGGGACGAUAAUGACGGUACCUUAGGAGGAAGCCCCGGCUAACUACGUGCCAGCAGCCGCGGUAAUACGUAGGGGGCAAGCGUUGUCCGGAAUUAUUGGGCGUAAAGGGUGCGUAGGCGGCCCUUUAAGUCAGAUGUGAAAGCCCACGGCUUAACCGUGGGACUGCAUUUGAAACUGGAGGGCUUGAGUGUCGGAGAGGGCAGUGGAAUUCCCAGUGUAGCGGUGGAAUGCGUAGAUAUUGGGAGGAACACCAGUGGCGAAGGCGACUGCCUGGACGAUAACUGACGCUGAGGCACGAAAGCUAGGGGAGCAAACA